Molecule: ribosomal RNA, 492 nt
Filed under: uncultured bacterium
Lineage: Bacteria
Description: partial 16S ribosomal RNA
Rfam family: Bacterial small subunit ribosomal RNA
Source: RNAcentral
AGUGAACGCUGGCGGUAGGCCUAGCACAUGCAAGUCGAACGGCAGCACAGUAAGAGCUUGCUCUUACGGGUGGCGAGUGGCGGACGGGUGAGGAAUACAUCGGAAUCUACUUUUUCGUGGGGGAUAACGUAGGGAAACUUACGCUAAUACCGCAUACGACCUACGGGUGAAAGCAGGGGAUCUUCGGACCUUGCGCGAUUGAAUGAGUCGAUGUCGGAUUAGCUAGUUGGCGGGGUAAAGGCCCACCAAGGCGACGAUCCGUAGCUGGUCUGAGAGGAUGAUCAGCCACACUGGAACUGAGACACGGUCCAGACUCCUACGGGAGGCAGCAGUGGGGAAUAUUGGACAAUGGGCGCAAGCCUGAUCCAGCCAUACCGCGUGGGUGAAGAAGGCCUUCGGGUUGUAAAGCCCUUUUGUUGGGAAAGAAAAGCAGCAGGUUAAUACCCCGCUGUUCUGACGGUACCCAAAGAAUAAGCACCGGCUAACUUCGUG